AAUAAUUAAAAUUUCUAAAUAAAAUUCUAAUCUUCUUAUUCUGCAUUAGAGUGGUUUUGAGCAAGUUGGUUAUUAGUAAUGAAAUAAUGGAGAGUUGAUGUGAGAUUUGAAUAAAUGGAGCAAAGAGGAAGAUUUAAUUGUUGCUGUUGAAGCUUUUGUAAUGCUUAAUGUCAAGAUUUAGUUGCUAAUUUGCUAUAUGAUAUUUAUUGAAAAUGCUCGUGCACUUUAUGGUGUCUUAAUGUAGAUAUUAUUUGACAGGUGGAACUGGCAUCAACCUUA
This 279-nucleotide unclassified non-coding RNA is filed under the name Hevea brasiliensis (rubber tree). The record is from RNAcentral. Lineage: Eukaryota; Viridiplantae; Streptophyta; Magnoliopsida; Malpighiales; Euphorbiaceae.